UUAGGGAGUGGUUGGAAUUACAGGCCUCAAAGGUGGCAGAGGAACUCAAGGAGCAGCUGGUCCCAGUGGUUUCCCAGGAUCCCCAGGAGGUGUCGGCCUAGCAGGCUCUGCUGGUCCAGUUGGUGAGCCUGGUCCUAUUGGAGCCCCAUGUAAAGAGG
Molecule: long non-coding RNA, 158 nt
Organism: Sinocyclocheilus anshuiensis
Lineage: Eukaryota; Metazoa; Chordata; Actinopteri; Cypriniformes; Cyprinidae
Exons: 3
Source: RefSeq, a predicted model, not a curated record